GAUGAACGCUAGCGGCAGGCUUAAUACAUGCAAGUCGAGGGGCAGCGGGGGUAGCAAUACCCGCCGGCGACCGGCAAACGGGUGCGGAACACGUACGCAACCUUCCUUUAACUGGAGAAUAGCCCCGAGAAAUCGGGAUUAAUACUCCGUAACAUAAUGAAGUGGCAUCACUUUAUUAUUAUAGGCUUCGGCCGGUUAAAGAUGGGCGUGCGCCUGAUUAGAUAGUUGGUGAGGUAACGGCUCACCAAGUCUGCGAUCAGUAACUGGUGUGAGAGCACGACCAGUCACACGGGCACUGAGACACGGGCCCGACUCCUACGGGAGGCAGCAGUAAGGAAUAUUGGUCAAUGGACGCAAGUCUGAACCAGCCAUGCCGCGUGGAGGAUUAAGGCCCUCUGGGUUGUAAACUCCUUUUAUCUGGGAAGAAAUGCCUAUUUUUACUAAAUGGUUUGACGGUACCAGAGGAAUAAGCACCGGCUAACU
Molecule: ribosomal RNA, 483 nt
Filed under: uncultured bacterium
Lineage: Bacteria
Description: bacterial SSU rRNA
Rfam family: Bacterial small subunit ribosomal RNA
Source: RNAcentral